RNAcentral lists this ribosomal RNA (523 nucleotides) under Lamproblatta albipalpus. RNAcentral describes it as "eukaryotic LSU rRNA". It matches the Rfam family "Eukaryotic large subunit ribosomal RNA", at positions 689 to 1167 of the family's 3401-position model. Lineage: Eukaryota; Metazoa; Arthropoda; Insecta; Blattodea; Lamproblattidae. The record is from RNAcentral.
AGCCACUGGGAUUCUCGAUAAACCCAGAGGCGCAGUGAAAGCGGGGCGCACCCUCGCGGUCGCCUUUUGGGAGGACGUCGCCGGCUCAGGCCGGUGGCCGCACUCCCGGGGCGCCUCGGCCUCGGCCGUAGGCGCACCCGGAGCGUACACGUUGGGACCCGAAAGAUGGUGAACUAUGCCUGGUCAGGACGAAGUCAGGGGAAACCCUGAUGGAGGUCCGCAGCGAUUCUGACGUGCAAAUCGAUCGUCAGAGCUGGGUAUAGGGGCGAAAGACUAAUCGAACCAUCUAGUACCUGGUUCCCUCCGAAGUUUCCCUCAGGAUAGCUGGCGCCCAUUUGGACUGGGACGAGUCUCAUCCGGUAAAGCGAAUGAUUAGAGGCCUUGGGGCCGAAACGACCUCAACCUAUUCUCAAACUUUAAAUGGGUGAGAUCUCCGGCUUGCUUGACUGAAGCCGCGAGAGCCACCGGAUCAGGGUGCCAAGUGGGCCAUUUUUGGUAAGCAGAACUGGCGCUGUGGGAUGAA